Molecule: long non-coding RNA, 714 nt
Organism: Ruditapes philippinarum (Manila clam)
Lineage: Eukaryota; Metazoa; Mollusca; Bivalvia; Venerida; Veneridae
Exons: 3
Source: RefSeq, a predicted model, not a curated record
GCGGGCGAAAUGAAAAAAGAAAAAACGGGAUUGGAAAUGGAGGUUAAUAAAAUUCAGAAUAUUGCAAAACAAGGACAGUGUACAGCGUGUUUAAAUCUUCUAGAAAUGCAGCUGUGCCCUCUUUACAGCAAUUAUAGAUGAAGCAAAGUAUGGUAGCAAGUUAUAUAGAUAUACACACAUGCCGAAGAAGAUUGUAAUAUCUGGAGAUAACAUUUCCUACGUCACGAAAUAGACACCGUCACACUGGUCUACGUAACAUUCCUAUAGAUGAUUGAUAUACAUGUAUUUAAGUGCUUUUAAGAACUGUGUUUGAGUGACGAAUUUCUGUGAAUACGGAUUUUUAGUUUUAAUGAUUAUUAUUAAAACUUUCUGUAAUAAUCAAUUUGUGCUAUGGACUCAUUUUCCUAAAAUAAUAUGUGAAUGUUAACACGAACAAAUGAUAUGAAUAUCUUUAAAAUGUUUUAUAGGUGUAAUACAAGUGGCUCAUAAAAAUCAUUGAAUAGAAAAGAACUUCAAGUUGGUAUAGUUGUUUCUAGAUUUAAACAACAUGCAAUUCAUAAAGGUUACGGCUUGCAAAUAUCGAAAACUGUACAUGUAUAAUUCGAUCUCUAAAGAAAAUAUCGCAGUGCGGUUUUUCUCCACCGUGAUACGUAUUUCAUGACUCUGUAUCGCAACAUAACGGUAUAUCGCCGUUCCGUUGCAACGCUACAUUAA